UUUUUUAUUAAUUAUUAUAGUUCACCUCUCAUCUUUAUAUGAUUCUAUUUUUGCGAAAAAUAAUAUCAUCGUUAUAAAAAAAGAAUUAGAGUUUUUCCGCAUCUGCCAUAAUUUGAAUUUUUAAAAACGAAUAUAAACUAUUCAAUACAUGAAAAAUUAUUAUAACAUGUCAAAAAUAGAUUUAAGAAAACUUUCUACCGAGUAUUGGGUCAUAAUUUGAAUAUUUAUAUUCAAUUUCAUAUAUAUUAUUUUGAAAAUUUAUAAUCUUAUAUACUACAAUAAUUAAUAACAUAUUAGAUUUUUUAUGUGUAUGAUGUGAUUCAAUUUUUAAUACAAGCUGGAAAAUCUUAGAAUUGACGGGUUUAGAUCGAUAUUAAUACAAGAUGGUAUACUACAGAUAAAACUCUAAAAUUAACAAUCAAAAUACAAGUGUAUAAUUUUAAAUACUAAACAAUAUAAAUAAUAUCAACAAAACAUAUACAACUCGCAGUUUACUAUACAUUUAAAAUCAAAUCAAAUAAUAUCAUAUAUUUAUAAUCAUCUUUACAAUAAAAGUUUUUAGUUUAACUAAAAUAUAAGCCUACCUGCGGUAUACUACAGGUUAAAAUUAUAAAUAAGCAGAUUACCAUCACGAUGUCUGUACCUUCUCACAUACACACCUAUCAAAAAUUUAAAACUUUUCAAAACCUCUUGGUAUAUUCAAAUUAGGAUUCUUCAUUCAUGGAAUCAUUAUUCCAAGGGUUUUGGGAUGUCUUAUGAAAUGAUUUUGGCAGAAGAAGAUGUAAAAUUUUUCGAAUAAAAAGUAGUCAGCAAAAACAUAUGUCUUUUUGGGGAGUUUUUAGAUAAUUAAAUCAGAGAAUAGAGCUGGACAUAUGAGUAACCCAUUCGAGUUCGUAUAGAACCCGUUCGGGUUUGGGAUUAAUGGGUAUAUGAUUAACUACCCAAUAGAAUAAUUCUAAAUAUUUGGUUCUGGUUCGGGUCGGGUCCAUUUGGGUUUGGGUCAGUUUGGAUAAAAAGUUUCAGGCCCUAAAAAUACCCAAAAAAUAGAAACGGGUAUUUUGUAUGUAUAUAGCGGGUCUCCAAACAAAAAAAACUUUUAAAUUUGUUAAGUUUUAAUAAAUUUAAUUAUAUUUGAAUAUAUUUUACUAAAUUUUGACAAACAUAACAAAUAAUUUUUGAAUAGUUUAGUUGUUUAAGAUAUUUAGGUCCAAAAUUAAUUGACAUAUUUAGAUUUAUAUAAUCUUAGAUAAUUAGAUUAUAUUACGAUUAAAUAUAAUUAAUAUUUUGGAUAUUAAAUUAAUGUUUGGGUUUUAGAAUACCCUUUUUGGGUAACAGGUAAUUUUUGAACCAAUCGGAUAUCCACGGGUUUACUAAAACUCUACCCAAUAAUGAAAUUUUCUAAAAUUCUAACCCGUCCUAACCCAGUUUUUUGGUUCGGAUAUUGGAUUGGUUAUCGGGUCCGUUUUUUCGUGAGUCCUAUCAAAGAUAAUCUAAUAUAGGGCCAAUUAGGUUCAUAAAUAUAACCAAAAUACUAUACAAAAACUAAUUCUAAGUUAGGCCAAAAAUUAGAUCCUCUAAUACAAAGGAAACAUGUUUCUUACCAAAACAACUUGUAUACAAAUUUUACACAUUUACUUAAAACUAUAUAUGUUGUAUUUAUUAUAAAAAUAACAUUUUUAAACAAAGUCAAUCCAAUACAGCAUUAUAUCCAAAUAGUAAAAACAUUGAAAAAUAUUAUGGCAUCACUUUUAUCCUAUACUAUUUCUUAUGUAAUUCAAAUAAAGUAUACAAUUUAAUUUAUACAAAUAUUAAUGCCCGUGCUGUAUAACACGCGUUAUGAUCUAGUUUAAUGAUAUAAAGUGAGACAUACUGUGUAAUAAUGAUUUAGAUACAUUUGAAAAUAUUCGA
This 1908-nucleotide small RNA is filed under the name Arabidopsis thaliana (thale cress). RNAcentral's name for it is "ATSL254830". Lineage: Eukaryota; Viridiplantae; Streptophyta; Magnoliopsida; Brassicales; Brassicaceae. The record is from RNAcentral.